This 256-nucleotide ribosomal RNA is filed under the name uncultured bacterium. Its description in RNAcentral is "partial 16S ribosomal RNA". It matches the Rfam family "Bacterial small subunit ribosomal RNA", at positions 524 to 776 of the family's 1533-position model. The record is from RNAcentral.
GACAUAGGUGGCGAACGUUAUCCGGAAUUAUUGGGCGUAAAGGGUGCGUAGGCGGCAUGAUAAGUUAUUGGCGGCAAAUCGAGGCUCAACCUCGUGGAAACUGAUAAUACUGUCUUGCUUGAGUGCAGAAGAGGUUAACGGAACUCCAUGUGGAGCGGUAAAAUGUGUAGAUAUAUGGAAGAACAUCAAUAACGGCGAAGGCAGUUAACUAGUCUGUUACUGACGUUGAGGCACGAAAGCGUGGGGAGCAAAAAGG